AGAGUUUGAUCAUGGCUCAGAGUGAACGCUGGCGGUAGGCAUAACACAUGCAAGUCGAACGGCAGCACAGUAAGAGCUUGCUCUUAUGGGUGGCGAGUGGCGGACGGGUGAGGAAUACAUCGGAAUCUACCUUUUCGUGGGGGAUAACGUAGGGAAACUUACGCUAAUACCGCAUACGACCUUCGGGUGAGAGCAGGGGACCUUCGGGCCUCGCGCGGAUAGAUGAGCCGAUGUCGGAUUAGCUAGUUGGCGGGGUAAAGGCCCACCAAGGCGACGAUCCGUAGCUGGUCUGAGAGGAUGAUCAGCCACACUGGAACUGAGACACGGUCCAGACUCCUACGGGAGGCAGCAGUGGGGAAUAUUGGACAAUGGGCGCAAGCCUGAUCCAGCCAUACCGCGUGGGUGAAGAAGGCCUUCGGGUUGUAAAGCCCUUUUGUUGGGAAAGAAAAGCAGUCGGCUAAUACCCGGUUGUUCUGACGGUACCCAAAGAAUAAGCACCGGCUAACUUCGUGCCAGCAGCCGCGGUAAUACGAAGGGUGCAAGCGUUACUCGGAAUUACUGGGCGUAAAGCGUGCGUAGGUGGUUGUUUAAGUCUGUUGUGAAAGCCCUGGGCUCAACCUGGGAAUUGCAGUGGAUACUGGGCGACUAGAGUGUGGUAGAGGGUAGUGGAAUUCCCGGUGUAGCAGUGAAAUGCGUAGAGAUCGGGAGGAACAUCCAUGGCGAAGGCAGCUACCUGGACCAACACUGACACUGAGGCACGAAAGCGUGGGGAGCAAACAGGGUUAGAUACCCUGGUAGUCCACGCCCUAAACGAUGCGAACUGAUGUUGGGUGCAAUUUGGCACGCAGUAUCGAAGCUAACGCGUUAAGUUCGCCGCCUGGGGAGUACGGUCGCAGACUGAAACUCAAAUGAAUUGACGG
This 920-nucleotide ribosomal RNA is filed under the name uncultured bacterium. RNAcentral describes it as "bacterial SSU rRNA". It matches the Rfam family "Bacterial small subunit ribosomal RNA", at positions 8 to 916 of the family's 1533-position model. The record is from RNAcentral.